This is a long non-coding RNA of Alosa alosa (allis shad), 1923 nucleotides long. RefSeq lists it as uncharacterized. The transcript is spliced from 2 exons. NCBI's taxonomy places the organism in Eukaryota, Metazoa, Chordata, Actinopteri, Clupeiformes, Clupeidae. The record is from RefSeq and is a predicted model, not a curated record.
AUCUACCGUUACUUAUCCUUGACAAUCACACCAGCCAGAAUGGCUCUCACCAAGCGUGUAUUACGAGAAAUCGUCGAAAUGUAUUUUUGUGGAUAUUGAGUGGUUGUUGGCUAGCUAAGAAGCUGGUUUGGUUACUGAAAACAGGCGUGUUUUCGCAAUUGAAAUUGCGGUUGUCUCUGGCUAGUUCGCCACUAGCAAGUAUCUAACGUUAGCGUCCAUAUUUUCUGCUUGAUUAUCCUAAUGUUAGCUGUCUGUCAGUCGUGGAGUAGGCCUGCACUCCCGGAGCUCAAUAGCCCUGCCUUAAUCCUGUGCAAGGAAAUAACAGGCAAAGCCUUUGAUUUGCAGUUUGUUUCAAAACAUGUCAAAUUAUUUGUUUAAUCAAACACAGCUAACUAGCUAGCCAAUAUUUGUACACAGCUGGCAUCACGGCUCAGCCAAGAAUCCAGCAUUUGUCAGAUGAGCUAACGUUAAAUGCUAGCUAUUUUAGCUGGCAAUGGGAUUUUGAAAAUCAAUUCGACAAAAUGUUUAUUGCAAAUAUAAGUAUUGUUGUGGGUAUUGGUCAUGUUUCAAUUUUGGUUGUCGGUGCUCGCGUGCACCUUGGACAAAUUUCGUAAAAUGCGAGGAUUUUGUCAGCUGCUGAUGUCAUUUGAGGAUUAUGCGGUAACGUUUGCUUGGCAAAGAGCUAGCUAGCUAUCUAACGUUAGCUUACCUAAUGCCGAUGAGCUAGUCGGUUGUUGUUGCUAGCUUGGCGCAACAUCUUUUGGGUUUGCCUUAAAUGUUGCAUCCAGCUCAUUACGCCCUAAAAGUAUCGAGGCUGGCUCUACAUUCUGCAUUAUCAGAUCUUUGUCGUCCCCCCUCCAUUGUGUAGCUAAUGACCAUCUGCUGCUGUGUGGUGUGGCCUCUGCCUGUACUCUGCAUUUAGCUGUAUUGUGAACCCCUUCUUCAUUUCCUCUUUCCAUCCGAAGACGACAUUGGUAUUUUAAACACCCAAGAAUGUUACUCCCUUGUGUGAAGCAGACUAAAAUUAGCUAACACCUUUAGAAACGAAUUGUCUCUCUACAUGUCAAGUUGCAAUAGUUAACCCAUUGUAGCAUUAGUUAAUAUAAUAAAUUUCAUGUACCUCCCAUCUAGUCUUGGUAGACAACAUGUGUAAAUUCCUGUAAAGUGGAUACAUUUUGCGUUCAUUUGGCUCGUUACCCUUUGCCUUUCAUGCUCUUAGAUUCGUUAUUAGUAAUAACGUUAGGCCUAAAUUCGUAAAUGAAAGGCAUAUUGGACAAAUGAAGGUGCACAGCCAAAGCUUGUGUCCUUAUUAACCUUUUCUUCUGAUAUAGGAAAAUGCUAUUGUAAUUAUGAUGGCAAUUUUGCCAUUUCAAGAGGCAUGUCUUAUCCAUACUGGGAAAACAAUACAUUUGCAAAUUUCAGUAUAUUUUCCUGGACAUGUCAAAAAUUACUGAAAAUAUUAUAUUUCAUGAAAGGGCAUACUACUGAGGCCUGUAGAAACAAACAAAACAAAACAAAAUGCUAUCCAUUUCACAGGGAUGUUUAUUUUCCUGCACUGCAACAGAAAUCCUCUAUUAGAUUCAAAUUGUCUAUUGUUUGGUUGUGGUCUCUCUACCUUUUGUUCUGGUAAUAGACUUCAAUGCAUGGUCACGUUAUAUUCAUAUUUUGUUUUACAUUGAAUAGUAUAUUCCAAUGUAAUCUUUCUGUAGCAAAGAUGUACCCUGCUGUACUGUAACGUGCUGUAGCCAACACAUUUGCUCAUUGGAUGCAGCUUUUGUUCUGUUAACCCUAUACAGAGCAUGACGGGCCUUGCCUCCAGUCAGUGUUGUUUUUUGGUUUAUUAUUUUGUUGCAUGGUAUUUAUAUUUAUGACACAGUUCCACAUACUAAUAUUUUUCAAUAAAGAAUAUAGUAUUUUUCCUAA